This is a non-coding RNA of Cinara cedri, 271 nucleotides long. The record is from the annotation of a GenBank genome assembly. Lineage: Eukaryota; Metazoa; Arthropoda; Insecta; Hemiptera; Aphididae.
UUUUCUUUAAUAAUAUUUGUUUAAUAUUUUACUGAUUUUUUCAUCUUUUUCUUGGUUUUUCACAUUUGUCGGGAAAAUCGAAAAAUGAUCUCCCUAAAGUACCUUCCUAGUCCGAUUUCCUUUCAGAAAAAGUGCUAUAUUAUUUUAAACCUGAAAGAAAUUGUUAGUAGAAAUGUUUGUACAACAAAUUGAAAGGUAUUUUGUGAUUAAUAUAGUCAGAUAGAGCGAUGGCAUUGGGUCUCUAGGUACACCCAAAAUGCAUUUGUUUUUU